Molecule: non-coding RNA, 284 nt
Organism: Xyrichtys novacula (pearly razorfish)
Lineage: Eukaryota; Metazoa; Chordata; Actinopteri; Labriformes; Labridae
Source: the annotation of a GenBank genome assembly
AAGGAGGGGAGCAGGGAGGAGCAACUCCUCCAACUACAUCUCCUUUAGGAGAGGAAAACCUCCUCCAACUACACCUCCUUCAGGAGGGGAGCAGGGAGGAGCAACUCCUCCUAGACCUCCUUCAGGAGAGGAGCAGGGAGGAGCAACUCCUCCUACACCUCCUUUAGGAGGGGAGCAGGGAGGAGCAACUCCUCCUACUACACCUCCUUCAGGAGGGGAGCAGGGAGGAGCACCUCCUCCAACUGCACCUCCUUCAGGAGAGGAGCAGGGAGGAGCACCUCCUC